CACAGACCGAGCGUUGGAGAUGUAUCUGGCAAUUUGAGGGAUCGUAGUUUUCAUGAAAACUGAAAAAGGCUUGAGUUUAUGAAAACUGCUUAACUUUUAAGUUUUCGAAACUGAGCUCGUCAUGACAAGCACAAUAGGGUCUCUCGAUGACAACAUAGUGCUUUCCUUAAAUUAUGAAGUACAAGGAGAAAUUGUCCAAUUGGCGACAUGGCUUUUGAUGAAAUAAAAAAAAAAGGUCAAUAUGUUCCGUCUUUUGGAAAUGAGGAAUAAUUGGAUACGAUUUCUUCGGCUUCAUGAGAGUGAUUAGUAAUCUAAAUUCCGAAGGAACUCCAAUAUUUUCAAGGAAACGUCUAAACUUUUGGGGGCACGGAUUAAACGAUAUUUGUUGAAGAAGCACUAAGGAAUCGCUAUGAAGAAUGCACAGACCAAAAAACUAGGCCACUUAUUUUGAAAAUUCAUUGCGAUGAGGAAAAAGAGACCUCUUAAAACCUAUGUUCUUGCUCUGAACCAUAGAGCUGUGACUUCUGUGUUUGAAGUACCGAAUACAAUGAAGGUGGAAAUUCAACAUUUCAAUCCGGAAGUUUUGCUUUCCUUUCUGAUCAAGAGGACUUGGUAAAAAUUCAAUGAACUGAUGAUUGCCUGCUUUGGUGAUAUUUAUUAAUUUUUUUAGCUUAAGUAUUUUGUGCAUUCCUGGAGUAGUUCACCAUUACCUAAAUCAAAUGAUACAAAAUGGAUAUGAAUUUGAACAUUUUAAGCACCUAAAACUGUUAUUCUUUGAGGAAUCGGAAGCUGUCGAUAAUUCUAAAAUGGUAUAUGCCAUUUUGAACGAUUCCAUUUGAAUUCAGACUUUGCACACUUUCUCAUUGCUUUAGUUAUACUUCAUGCUCUAUAACGCAUUUAUUGCAGUCAAUAUUGGGCUAAUCGCGACAAUAUGAGCGUUGCAGCAGUUGAAAAUAUUUAAAUCAUCCAUUUUUAUUAAACAUUGUUUUUUUUUCCUAGAGGUGUUAAAAGAUUUGAGAUUAUCUUUUGUUCUACUCCUGACCAUGUUGGCAUUUUAACAGAGCAAAAUAUAUUAAGCAGCAGGAUCAGCUCUUAAACCGCAGAUCUGCUACUUGGCGACUGAACACUUAUAUUCAAUCUGCAGCUGUUCUAUGUCUGCCUUGCGCAUUUUCGUAGAAUGCUUUUGCUCCAGAGUAGCGAGCAUUCUUUCAGAUGUCUCGCUAUGAUUUGAGUUAUUUGAUUUAAAAACUCCGUAUGUCAAUAUUUAUUGUUUCAUAAAAAUAUUGGUUUUUAUAAUAUAGAAAUAUUUAAGCUUUGUCAUCUGGUUUCGUUCUCUCAUCGCAAUUCUUUUAUGCAUUGGAUCUAGAUCUCCAUUUCUUCUGUUGUUAUAGUUUGAUAAAUUUUUAACGAGUUGGUCGUAGCGUAGCCAAAGGUAGCCAUUGCACCAAAAAAAAAAUGAAAAAACUCAACUGAGCAGCUCUUGUUCCUUUUGCAUGUAUCGACAAAUCCUUAAAACAUAUCCUUAAUAAAUGGCAGCAGUAGUACAUUUUUCAAACUAACGAAUUGCAACGUAUUAAGUUUGUCAUGCUUCUACUAUACGAUUAUCUGUUAAAUUAACAUAUUGUAUUUAUUCGGAUAUAUUAAACAUACUUGCUCUCUGGAGAUUCAGAAUCUGUGCACAAUCUGCAAGCAAUUCAAAUUUUUGACGAAAAUUUAAAGUUUGUAAUUUAACUAAACUCAAACUUUCAAAAGUAUUGUUUUAGACUUGAAGGACUAAGAUCUCGACUAGAUUUUUCAUGAAAUAUUUAUACCAAAUUCAAUUAAUCAGUUUUACUUUUGCUCGAUUUUAUUCAAGCCUAGAUUGUUUCCCAACUGUGCUUUAGGAAUAUUUAAGUUUUCAAUUUUCUUGGUACUGAGAAAUAUUUCACGACUGUACUUUUUACUUGGAAUCUUUUUACUUCAUUUUUCUUUUGAAUUUUUGUUUGACGUACCUUAACUGACAACUGUUAUCACUUUUCACCCAACCGGCUCAAGAACUGGUUUUGUACCUCCAAACAUCUUGGCAAAUUAAAGCAUGUGAAAUAUUUGAACAUUGCCAGAUCUUAAUUUGCAAUAUUUUUGAUUUGGAAAAUUUUGCUUGAAGAAAUUCAAGAAAUUAAGUACAAGAGUUUAAAAUGAGUUAUGAUGAAAUUUUAGAAGUGCCUAUUGUUUGUCGUACGAAUAUCAACUUGCUUUAAGGCCAACAUUUUAAUUGAGUGCAAUUUGUAGUUCCAAUACAGAACGCUAAAUUGUUUGUAUGCUAAACAGUGCAAAGCGCGCCAGAAAGGAUAGAAGAAACGCCUUUUCACUUGUUUGGAAUAGAGAAGAGCUAGAAAAGAUUCUGAUUUUGAAAUGGUUAAAAAGCUCCAUGUAUACUUUGACACUGUAUACAAAAUGUAUAUUCCAUGUUUACAAAACACCUUGCUUGCAAUUGGGUGAAAAGCCAUGAACUACGUUUUCUAAUAUAGAUUUCAAUGCUAAAUUGGUUGAAACUAAAGUGCAGCAGCACUAAGUAAAACUUCUUUGUCGGAAAACAAGCACUUCACAUCUUCCGGUAAAUUUCAGCAAUAUAAUAUACCAAAAUGGUUAUAUAAUCACUGUUAUCUGGAUAUUUUAAUGAAAUACCUGCUUAUUUGUUCGCGCUGACAGCUGGUCCAGAGAGUGUAAGAUCGUGAUUUGUAUGGAAGGAUCUGAAGACUUAAAAGCGGUUUCAAUGCAAAUACAAACAUUGUACAAGUACUGAAUGACACAUAAUAAAAAAAUCAGUAUCGUAAAAUAUAAAUUCUUAACAUAUUUAAAAAGCUAUGCAAAUACGAGACCAAAUAGAAAUUUUCGCAAAAAAAAAAAAAUUAAA
Long non-coding RNA from Argiope bruennichi, 2893 nucleotides. RefSeq lists it as uncharacterized. Lineage: Eukaryota; Metazoa; Arthropoda; Arachnida; Araneae; Araneidae. The record is from RefSeq and is a predicted model, not a curated record. The transcript is spliced from 4 exons.